This 448-nucleotide ribosomal RNA is filed under the name uncultured organism. RNAcentral describes it as "partial 16S ribosomal RNA". It matches the Rfam family "Bacterial small subunit ribosomal RNA", at positions 333 to 797 of the family's 1533-position model. The record is from RNAcentral.
ACACUCCUACGGGAGGCAGCAGUGGGGAAUAUUGGACAAUGGGCGCAAGCCUGAUCCAGCCAUGCCGCGUGAGUGAUGAAGGCCCUAGGGUUGUAAAGCUCUUUCACCGGUGAAGAUAAUGACGGUAACCGGAGAAGAAGCCCCGGCUAACUUCGUGCCAGCAGCCGCGGUAAUACGAAGGGGGCUAGCGUGGUUCGGAUUUACUGGGCGUAAGGCGCACGUAGGCGGACUAUUAAGUCAGGGGUGAAAUCCCGGGGCUCAACCCCGGAACUGCCUUUGAUACUGGUAGUCUGGAGUUCGAGAGAGGUGAGUGGAAUUCCGAGUGUAGGGGUGAAAUUCGUAGAUAUUCGGAGGAACACCAGUGGCGAAGGCGGCUCACUGGCUCGAUACUGACGCUGAGGUGCGAAAGCGUGGGGAGCAAACAGGAUUAGAAACCCCGGUAGUCCCA